GGAUGGACCUUUUGUCCGCAACAAUGAUGCAUUAGGAAAGGAUGAGAUCCACCUUGGUUUUCACAUGGGAGUCCCCCAAAAGAAUCCUUCUUAUAGAAUUUUUUUUUAGCUGCGUUGUUAACUACCCUUGCCGCUUUUUAAUCAUCAGAAUCCAGUGUACCAAGUCAGCCAGUCCCUGGUCUCAUAAAUUAUAGUUAGGAGAAUCUUCAAGUGAUGACAGCC
Molecule: long non-coding RNA, 222 nt
Filed under: Elaeis guineensis (African oil palm)
Lineage: Eukaryota; Viridiplantae; Streptophyta; Magnoliopsida; Arecales; Arecaceae
Description: long non-coding RNA (EGUI_LNC025152)
Source: RNAcentral